UAGCAAUACGGCAGCGGCAGACGGGAGAGUAACACGUGGGAACGCGCCCUUCGGUUCGGAAUAACUCAGGGAAACUUGGGCUAAUACCGGAUACGCCCUUACGGGGAAAGAUUUAUUGCCGAAGGAACGGCCCGCGUCCGAUUAGCUUGUUGGUGAGGUAACGGCUCACCAAGGCGACGAUCGGUAGCUGGUCUGAGAGGAUGACCAGCCUCACUGGGACUGAGACACGGCCCAGACUCCUACGGGAGGCAGCAGUGGGGAAUAUUGGACAAUGGGCGCAAGCCUGAUCCAGCCAUGCCGCGUGGGUGAUGAAGGCCCUAGGG
RNAcentral lists this ribosomal RNA (323 nucleotides) under uncultured bacterium. RNAcentral describes it as "bacterial SSU rRNA". It matches the Rfam family "Bacterial small subunit ribosomal RNA", at positions 81 to 422 of the family's 1533-position model. The record is from RNAcentral.